This 682-nucleotide ribosomal RNA is filed under the name Candidatus Liberibacter asiaticus. RNAcentral's name for it is "bacterial LSU rRNA". It matches the Rfam family "Bacterial large subunit ribosomal RNA", at positions 594 to 1269 of the family's 2925-position model. Lineage: Bacteria; Pseudomonadati; Pseudomonadota; Alphaproteobacteria; Hyphomicrobiales; Rhizobiaceae. The record is from RNAcentral.
UGACGGCGUACCUUUUGUAUAAUGGGUCAACGACUUAGUGUGACAAGCGAGCUUAAGCCGGUAGGUGUAGGCGUAGCGAAAGCGAGUCUGAAUAGGGCGUUUAGUUUGUUGCAUUAGACCCGAAACCGAGUGAUCUAGCCAUGAGCAGGUUGAAGGUUGGGUAACACCAAUUGGAGGACCGAACCCGUAUCUGUUGCAAUAGAUUGGGAUGACUUGUGGCUAGGGGUGAAAGGCCAAUCAAACUCGGAGAUAGCUGGUUCUCCGCGAAAUCUAUUUAGGUAGAGCGUUAACUGAAUACCCUCGGGGGUAGAGCACUGGAUAGGCUAUGGGGGCUUACCGCCUUACUGCUCCUAACCAAACUCCGGAUACCGAGGAGUACUAGUUGGCAGACACACAGUGGGUGCUAACGUCCAUUGUGGAGAGGGCAACAACCCUGACCUCCAUCUAAGGUCCCGAAGUCAUGGCUAAGUGGGAAAGGAUGUGAAGAUCCCAAAACAACCAGGAUGUUGGCUUAGAAGCAGCCAUCAUUUAAAGAAAGCGUAACAGCUCACUGGUCUAGAUAAGGAUUUUUGCGCCGAAAAUGUAACGGGGCUAAAGCCAUGCACCGAAGAUGAGGAUUUGUUUAUUUUUAAACGAGUGGUAGCGGAGCGUUCCGUAAGCUGAUGAAGGAGGACUUGUGAGA